Molecule: unclassified non-coding RNA, 327 nt
Filed under: soil metagenome
Description: partial contains 5.8S ribosomal RNA, internal transcribed spacer 2, and large subunit ribosomal RNA
Rfam family: 5.8S ribosomal RNA (bases 1-120)
Source: RNAcentral
GAUGAAGAACGUAGCGAAAUGCGAUAAGUAAUGUGAAUUGCAGAAUUCAGUGAAUCAUCGAAUCUUUGAACGCACAUUGCGCCCCUUGGUAUUCCGAGGGGCAUGCCUGUUCGAGCGUCAUUAUAACCCCUCAAGCUCAGCUUGGUGUUGGGGCCUGCUGCACUGGCAGCCCUUAAAAUCAGUGGCGGCGCCAUCUGGCUCUAAGCGUAGUAAUUCUUCUCGCUAUGGAGUCCUGGUGGAUGCUUGCCAUCAACCCCCAAUUUUUCUAUGGUUGACCUCGGAUCAGGUAGGGAUACCCGCUGAACUUAAGCAUAUCAAAGCGGAGGA